AGUGAACGCUGGCGGUAGGCCUAACACAUGCAAGUCGAACGGCAGCACAGUAAGAGCUUGCUCUUACGGGUGGCGAGUGGCGGACGGGUGAGGUAUACAUCGGAAUCUACUUUUUCGUGGGGGAUAACGUAGGGAAACUUACGCUAAUACCGCAUACGACCUACGGGUGAAAGCAGGGGAUCUUCGGACCUUGCGCGAUUGAAUGAGCCGAUGUCGGAUUAGCUAGUUGGCGGGGUAAAGGCCCACCAAGGCGACGAUCCGUAGCUGGUCUGAGAGGAUGAUCAGCCACACUGGAACUGAGACACGGUCCAGACUCCUACGGGAGGCAGCAGUGGGGAAUUUUGGACAAUGGGCGAAAGCCUGAUCCAGCAAUGCCGCGUGGGUGAAGAAGGCCUUCGGGUUGUAAAGCCCUUUUGUUGGGAAAGAAAAGCAGCAGGUUAAUACCCCGCUGUUCUGACGGUACCCAAAGAAUAAGCACCGGCUAACUUCGUG
This 492-nucleotide ribosomal RNA is filed under the name uncultured bacterium. RNAcentral's name for it is "partial 16S ribosomal RNA". It matches the Rfam family "Bacterial small subunit ribosomal RNA", at positions 29 to 507 of the family's 1533-position model. The record is from RNAcentral.